AGACAACGUUCCAAGCAAAUAACUCGAAAACCUAUGACAGAUGCUUCAUCGGCCACAAGGACGUCCUGAACGCCGACACCUGGAACAUCUACGAAGGGCAGUACUUCACCGGAAGGGAGCUUUUCGGUACGAACGACACGGCCUCCCUGGGAGAGCUUGAACUUCAAGUUUCUUCGAUUGGGGUCACGUGUACAAGCGCUUGGACUGUGUACACAGGCCAAUCCUUCACGGGCCCUGAAGGGGUCUGCGUUUAUCCUGCCACAUUUCAUGACCGGUCGCCUUCGGGAGAGCAACUUGACGUCGGUAUUUUUGGAGUCGUAACUACUCUUGGACUACCUGAAGACAGCAUCCGCUCCAUACGAAAGGGAUGUUGGUCAAGCAAGGUUGCGACUCCUUCAGACCUCAGCUACCAACACAAAGACUCCAAUAGUGGGUGGGGAUAUUUUGGACUCUAAAAUGGAGACACAGGCUCCAAGACAACGGUUGAUUUGCAAGUUUAAAUUUGCAUGUUAUGAGCUACUGAUUUGGAAAUUAAAAUUAUAUUUGGGUGUUGAAGAAAGUACUUAUUUCAAAAUUACCGACCACAUGGCCCAACAAACUUAGAAGAAAAAUUUGUUUACUAUCCUUUAAUAUUCUGACGGUUUCUGACCAAUUCCUUAUCCAUGGAUAUGAAAAUUCCCAAUCUUCCACUAAUAUUCCUUCAGGACAUUCUGAAGGCCAA
Macrobrachium nipponense is the source of this 721-nucleotide long non-coding RNA. RefSeq lists it as uncharacterized. The record is from RefSeq and is a predicted model, not a curated record. NCBI's taxonomy places the organism in Eukaryota, Metazoa, Arthropoda, Malacostraca, Decapoda, Palaemonidae. The transcript has 3 exons.